UGUAGAAUUGUGUCAUCAAUCUUCUAAGCCUCUGAGUCCAACAGAAGGUUUGAAUAUGCUGAGUGAAGGAAAGACUCUUGGUCCAGUAGAAGGUUUGCCAAAGCUAAUAACAUACAUGUGAGAAGCACGUGAGUUGGGGCAAUAGGAAUCAUCAUCUUCUGGGUAUAUCAUCGUCAUCUUCUCCGACGGAGAGUUAGUUACAGAAACAGAGCGAGAGCUCAAGAUGAGAGAGUGAGAGCGAUUGGGUUGGUGAGAGUGAGCUAGAGAGAGAUGUGAUUCUUGGUAUAUCUAGACUCAUAGACUUGUUCUUCUUCCUCAGUCUUGUAACUCAGAUUAGGUGUAAUCGAGAGAGGAAGAAGACGAGUGAACCUCCGGUGACGUACUCUGUAAUCACAUUGAUUAUAGUGGAUUGGCUGAGAGACCGUUUCUCUCCCCGGUGAUGUAUAGCGGCUUCUCCACAUCGGAGAAGUGCGGUGAACACCGGGUAAACAAAGUCUCGUGUGUUAUUUCUUUAUGCUUGAUUCAUGAUUGAUUAGAUUCGUUUAGGCUUGUGAUGAGUAUUGAUUAAAGCCAAGAUCACAUGAUGAAUCCUCAACAAAUGGUAUCAGAGCCUCGGUUUAGGCGAUUCAAGGAUUCAUCGGAAACAGAUCAAGAUCGGUUCUGAAGUAGAAUCGAAUAAGGAUCGGAGGAAGUUUCGAUCGCAUCGUUGUUGCGAGAGUGAAGAAUCAGUAGAUGUUGCAAGAGAUGAAAUGUCAAGAGCAAAGAAAGAAGAUGAAGACGUUGGCUCGUGGUAGACGACAACGUCGGAGACGGAGGAAAGGAAUCUCACGGAGGAAGACGCAACCGGUUCAGCUAGUUUAUGGUUUGUGGAAUCAGAUGGUUUUGUAAGUUAAUCUCUCUCAUCUCUAGAGUUAUAAGCUGGUGUGAGUUGCUCUGGAUCAAAGAGACUUGCAAGAUAUGGUGUGGCGUUCACAAGAGAACGAAGAACCAUAGACUGAAGUGUAAAGAAUCAGAUAUGUGAUGUUGUUUUGCAGUUCUGGAAUUGGUUUGAUGCUGGCUGUUUGAGGUGGAGGAUCUCAGGUUAAAAUGUUAAGUCAAGAUCAGACUUAUGGCUACAUAAUCAAAGUCAGUUCAUAGUUUCCUCAGGUUCAAUUCUUGGAGACAAAUGGUCUCAGUCUGCAACAGUCACAAAGUUUUGUUGUGGUGGCUGGAUACUCAUCUACUGCAGUGUAUAAAGAAUGGAAGCUCUCUAAAUCACAAGGGCGGUAUGUUAUCUUUGCAAAGAGUGAUCAAGGCUCAGGUUUGGUGUCAAACUGUUUGUUGGUCAGCUUGUUUGUGGAAGGAAGAUGCAGCUGUGGUUUCAGGAUGUUUGGAAGAAUGGCAGUUGGUGGCAUCUAUGAAUCUCAGGUUUAAGGGACGCUUUAGAAGUGAGUUUGUAUGUGUGUCAAAGGCUGUUCAGAUACUGUUAAAGCUUUCAAGAUUCAAGUUUGAAGUUAAGUUGCAGAGAAGAAUGGUUUCUACAGGUUUUGGAACAAGACAGAUAUGUUAUUUUGAGGAGCUGGUUCAGAUUUCAGAAAGUUUGAGUUGCAGGUUCAGUCACAGAGAUUAAGGGUCAGGUUCUGGUGAAUGUAAGAAGCUCAGGUGGUAAUGAUCAAGGUCAGGAAAAUGAUCAUAAUGGAGCUUGUAGCAGCAAGGAUUGUUUCUACACAAAAGUAUCAAGGCUGUUACAUUUAAUGAAUUUCUUCAGUGCCAGUAAAGUGAUAAAACAGAUGGGAUUCUGUGGUAUAUCACCUGACGUUUUUUCACAUAAACAAACGUCACGGCUUAUUAGAAGAAUGCCUGGAGUCAUCAAGAAAGAAGCAGAAGAAGCAGGAACAUGUUAUGUUUCCAGAAGAAUGCGCCAAGAGAAAAGACAAGAAGUCUAAGAGCAAUGUGAGUAUAUGUUGGAAUAGAGUUUCUUGUGGGAUCAAAGUUGAUAACUUUGGAGGAGUAUGAGUGGAAGAGGCAGCUCGUGGUAGAGGUUUAACUGUCUCACUCAAGGCGUUUCUGCAGAGGGUUAAAAGCGAUGAUUUCUUAAAGAGAAAGAAGGCUGAUAGAAUAUCAGUGAUAAGGAGCCAAGGAGAAGAAACAAGUUUCUGGUUUUAUGGCUCAAGGAAAGGAAAGCAAGGAGUUUGUUUUGCUGGUUGUAGUUCUUUUGAACAUGGAGUUUACAAGUUCAAGUCUUUGCAGGAUGUCUCGGGUCAUUGGUGCUUGUGUUCUGUAUUUUAAAGACACACAAGAAGUUUCAGGAGAUGGAGAAAUCUGAGAGAAACUUCAAAGAAUGAUUGUGAGGACAUGUUAGGAUGAAGGGACAGCAGGAUGAAAGCACAGCAGGCGGCAGUCACUCAAGGUUGUAGCUUUCAGAGGCUAUGAAAAGAAGCUCUAUGCCAAGAUAUAAAGGCAAGAAGCAUGGUGUUACUGAUAGUAAAAUCAGUGGAGUAAAAUCAGUUUGAGAGAAUCUGGUUUCGGGUUUAUCUGUCACAGGUUCUGAUGGGUUAAAUUCAGAAGGGUCUCACAGGGUUUAAAGUGUUAUGUGAAGAUGUUUUGUUGGCAGAGACUAUAACAGGUUGGAGCACAGUCAGUUUGGUGGGAUUAAAAUCAGAUUGGAAAGCUCGGAAGAAGCUGCGACACUUGGUGGUUAUGGUAUUAGCGACUAUAGUUGAAUGGCUGCAAAAUUAAUAUAAUUUUGAUAAGAUCUGAAAUAAAAUUCAGAAGCAAGAAGCCAUGUUUACAGUCAGCUACACAAAGGGGUUAAGUGAAUCAAAGAAGAAAGUGCAGGAUGGUUAUAAGUCUGAGAAGUGAAGCUUCAUGUGAAGAGGAACACGUUGGGGUUUUGAAAGGUUAUUGUUUCAGGUGGAGUCUUGCCUCUACAAGUUUUGUAGUGCACAUCUCUAGAUGUUUUUUGACUCCAGGUGGAGCAGUGUUAUGUUUCAGACAGUGUUCUCAGGUCAACUUCAGUAUGAAAAGGUUUCAGAGGUUCUGCGGAUGAGCUUACAAGAGCUACAGAGAUUCAGGUUGGUUUUGUGAAGCAAGAAGAGUAAAAGAGAGCCAAGCCAGUGUCAGCAGGUUCAAGCUCAACAUGUUAUGGUCAGAUGGAGUAAAAGGGGUUCAGCUUGUGGUCAGAGUUGUGAAGAGGAUAUCGGCAGUGUUAGUAUGGUUUCUCCACAGGAAGCAUGGAGUAAAACGACAUCGAGGCAGAGUCACUGCAGGUAUGAUAAAUCAAUAUAUAUAAAAUACUUGUGAGGUGGUUUUUUGCAGGUAUUCACAGGGACCAGGGAGAACAGUUCAAGGUGGAGCUGUUUGAGUCAAUUACCAAGCUGAACAAAUUCAAAGAGUUCUCUAAGAGUAGCUACAAGGAGAUAAACAGCAAGGUUUGUUGGUACUGUCACAAAAGAGUACAAGAAGGAUUGAGCUACUGGAAAAUGGAGUUCUUGGUAACGUCUGGAACAGGCAGGGGCGUUUAUAUACCAAGGUCUGGUAAGGUUCGCAGGUUAGCGAAGCACAGGUUCUUUUCUACAGCAAAGGUGUCUCAGGAGUUGUCACAGGUUUUGUGAGUAUGAGGCAGGGAUAAAGAAGUCAGCAGUGGUCAGAUUGUUGUCUGAAGUUCUGUUGAGGCAGAUUUGUUUGAACUGGGUUUGAGCAGAGAUCUCUACAUCGAAAGUCUUCUUAACCAGGUUGAGUUAGGCGGCGUGUUCUGCUGGUCACAGCAGCGGUGAAGAGUGAUGUUCAGGUUGAAAGUUCAUACAGAUUGGUGUAGAGGAAAACUUCAGGAUUAGCAGAGAGUUUUUCUACUAGCUGUUGAGGUUGUCUACAAGGGUUUUUUGAGUCAAAGCGCUUCUGGUGUGAGGCAGAAAUGAUUCAAGUUCCGCAGGAGUUUUCAAGCAAGCAUCGUUUCAGGUUUUGGCAGACUAUUGGGAGACCUUAAUUGCAGUAACAAGUCAAGCAUUAUAGGCUGAUCUAUACUAGUCAAAGGAGAAGCUUAUGGAGUGUAUGUUGAGUUACUGGAAUGGGAUUGUGAUUCACAUCACAACAAGUUACAUGUCUGUUCAUUGAUGAUGAUUAAGUGGUUGAAGACUGGGAGUUGUCAAGGUUAGAGCUGGGUUUACAAGGUUCUAAGGAACAGUGGCAAGGAAGUUUUCAGGUUAUAUCAAGACAAGAUGCUGGGAGGAAACAAGUUUCAGGAAACGUUGAAGCUGAGCGGUGAAGCUCAAAGAGACUGCAAGGAGAUGCAGGAAGAUAAAGCAGAUGCGCAUGUUUGCUCAGUCACCGGAGGAAAGCUCAUGAGAAGAUUGGGCUGUAGAAGAUCAAUGCCAAGGUGGAGAUUGUAGAAUUGUGUCAUCAAUCUUCUAAGCCUCUGAGUCCAACAGAAGGUUUGAAUAUGCUGAGUGAAGGAAAGACUCUUGGUCCAGUAGAAGGUUUGCCAAAGCUAAUAACAUACAUGUGAGAAGCACGUGAGUUGGGGCAAUAGGAAUCAUCAUCUUCUGGGUAUAUCAUCGUCAUCUUCUCCGACGGAGAGUUAGUUACAGAAACAGAACGAGAGCUCAAGAUGAGAGAGUGAGAGCGAUUGGGUUGGUGAGAGUGAGCUAGAGAGAGAUGUGAUUCUUGGUAUAUCUAGACUCAUAGACUUGUUCUUCUUCCUCAGUCUUGUAACUCAGAUUAGGUGUAAUCGAGAGAGGAAGAAGACGAGUGAACCUCCGGUGACGUACUCUGUAAUCACAUUGAUUAUAGUGGAUUGGCUGAGAGACCGUUUCUCUCCCCGGUGAUGUAUAGCGGCUUCUCCACAUCGGAGAAGUGCGGUGAACACCGGGUAAACAAAGUCUCGUGUGUUAUUUCUUUAUGCUUGAUUCAUGAUUGAUUAGA
This is a long non-coding RNA of Brassica rapa (field mustard), 4899 nucleotides long. RefSeq lists it as uncharacterized. The record is from RefSeq and is a predicted model, not a curated record. NCBI's taxonomy places the organism in Eukaryota, Viridiplantae, Streptophyta, Magnoliopsida, Brassicales, Brassicaceae.